RNAcentral lists this unclassified non-coding RNA (298 nucleotides) under Ascomycota sp. Its description in RNAcentral is "partial contains small subunit ribosomal RNA, internal transcribed spacer 1, and 5.8S ribosomal RNA". The stretch from base 1 to 47 matches the Rfam family "Eukaryotic small subunit ribosomal RNA", at positions 1785 to 1831 of the family's 1831-position model. The record is from RNAcentral. Lineage: Eukaryota; Fungi; Ascomycota.
AAAGUCGUAACAAGGUUUCCGUAGGUGAACCUGCGGAAGGAUCAUUAACAAGUUUCGAGAUGGCAUACCCUCGGGGGGGAACAGAUUCCAUUCGUGCUGCAGAGUGCCAGCACGGGUGAUACUUCCGAGGAAUGUCACACUCGUCAAACACCAUCUGUGUACCCUCUCCCGUUGCUUCCGUGGGUGUGCUUCGCCCCCCACGAAAGUCAUUCAGAAAACCUUUUGGAAUCGUCAUGCCCUCCGUCUGAAGUCAAACGAUGAAGAAUUAAAACUUUCAACAACGGAUCUCUUGGUUCUC